AUGGAGAUCUCAGCACCAUCACAGCAACGGCAGCAGAUAGCUGAGAUUGAGAAGCAGACCAAGGAACAAUCACAACUGACUGCAACACAGACUUGAACUGUCAACAAGCAUGGUGAUGAGAUCAUCACCUCUACCACCAGCAAUUAUGAGACCCAGACUUUCUCAUCAAAGACUGAAUGGAGGGUCAGGGCCAUCUCUGCUGCCAAUCUGCAUUUGAGGACCAAUCACAUCUAUGUUUCAUCUGAUGACAUCAAGGAGACUGGUUACACCUAUAUCCUUCCCAAGAAUGUGCUUAAGAAGUUCAUCUGCAUAUCUGACCUUCGGGCCCAAAUUGCAGGAUACCUAUAUGGGGUGAGCCCACCGGAUAACCCCCAGGUGAAGGAGAUCCACUGCAUUGUGACGGUCCCACAGUGGGGCACUCAUCAGACUGUGCACCUGCCUGGCCAGCUGCCCCAACAUGAGUACCUCAAGGAGAUGGAGCCCUUAGGUUGGAUCCACACUCAGCCCAAUGAGUCCCCCGAGUUAUCACCCCAGGAUGAAUUAUCAAUUUCUUCAUGGUUAGUGCUUUGGGGUGUUAAGAUGUUGUUACCUACCCUGUGUCAAAUUUCCUAG
Molecule: RNA transcript, 612 nt
Organism: Nycticebus coucang (slow loris)
Lineage: Eukaryota; Metazoa; Chordata; Mammalia; Primates; Lorisidae
Gene name: pre-mRNA-processing-splicing factor 8-like
Exons: 1
Source: RefSeq, a predicted model, not a curated record